UUCGCGGAAGCCGAAAAGCGCAAAGAGUAGGCG
This 33-nucleotide non-coding RNA is filed under the name unclassified sequences. RNAcentral's name for it is "DUF805b RNA". It matches the Rfam family "DUF805b RNA". Rfam says of the family: Bacteroidetes, Chlorobi (1 example), Proteobacteria. Lineage (Flavobacteria) The record is from RNAcentral.